Cimex lectularius (bed bug) is the source of this 476-nucleotide long non-coding RNA. RefSeq lists it as uncharacterized. Lineage: Eukaryota; Metazoa; Arthropoda; Insecta; Hemiptera; Cimicidae. The transcript has 4 exons. The record is from RefSeq and is a predicted model, not a curated record.
UUCCCGGUUGAACACCUGGCUCGUGCACAUGGUGGUUGCAUUUAGCCAAAACCGAUUACAGCACAACUCUUUACAUCCAGGGUGAUAGUUAAUAAGAUUUAUUUCUCUGUUGUGAAACAGGAGCUAAAAGGUUUCGUAAGAGGACAUUGGUAAUUCUAUGCGUUCCGAAAUGUACAAUUUAUUCCUUAAUUAUCAUAAAAAGUACGUUGAAAGAUUGCAGUUCAAUACGGUGUUUUCAGAGGUUGAACGAGAAAAGGUGUAUAGGACCUUUUUUGAAUGGAUGUAUGUUGCUGACCCUCAUAGAUACGAGCAGUACCAUGAGGUUGAGAAAGCCUCCAGAGCCGAUAACUGAAAAUCGAUUCGAGGGAUGGGCACGCAAACUGUACUGAUCAUUAAAAUCUGCGAGAGAGAGUGAGCGAGAGAAAAUCAAAUACAAGCAGAGGAAGACAGACUAACAAACAGAGGCUAAGAAAAAA